UACGGUAGGGUGCAAGCGUUAAUCGGAAUUACUGGGCGUAAAGCGUGCGCAGGCGGUGAUGUAAGACAGUUGUGAAAUCCCCGGGCUCAACCUGGGAACUGCAUCUGUGACUGCAUCGCUGGAGUGCGGCAGAGGGGGAUGGAAUUCCGCGUGUAGCAGUGAAAUGCGUAGAUAUGCGGAGGAACACCGAUGGCGAAGGCAAUCCCCUGGGCCUGCACUGACGCUCAUGCACGAAAGCGUGGGGAGCAAACAGG
Molecule: ribosomal RNA, 254 nt
Filed under: uncultured bacterium
Lineage: Bacteria
Description: partial 16S ribosomal RNA
Rfam family: Bacterial small subunit ribosomal RNA
Source: RNAcentral